RNAcentral lists this ribosomal RNA (505 nucleotides) under Melanoplus gladstoni (Gladston grasshopper). RNAcentral describes it as "partial 16S ribosomal RNA". It matches the Rfam family "Archaeal large subunit ribosomal RNA", at positions 1924 to 2664 of the family's 2987-position model. The record is from RNAcentral. Lineage: Eukaryota; Metazoa; Arthropoda; Insecta; Orthoptera; Acrididae.
CUCUUGAUUAUAUUUUUGAGGUCUGGCCUGCUCACUGACAAGUUUUUAAAGAGCCGCGGUAUUUUGACCGUGCAAAGGUAGCAUAAUCAUUAGUCUCUUAAUUAGGGGCUGGAAUGAAUGGCUUGAUGAGAAAUUAACUGUCUCUUAUUAAACUAUAGAAUUUAACUUUUGAGUUAAAAGGCUUAAAUUUUUCUUAAAGACGAGAAGACCCUAUAGAGCUUGACAUUUUAUUUUAAUAUAAUUUUUAGAUAGUCUUUUUAUAUUUUAAGAUAAUGUUUUGUUGGGGUGACAUGAAGAAUAGAUAAACUCUUCAUUAUAAAAUCAUUGAUUUAUGUUUAUUUGGAUCCAUAAUUUAUGAUCAUAAGAUUAAGUUACCUUAGGGAUAACAGCGUAAUUGUUUUUGGAGAGCUCAUAUUUGACAAAGCAGAUUGCGACCUCGAUGUUGGAUUAAGAAUAAUUUUGGGUGCAGGAGUCCAGUAAUUAGGUCUGUUCGACCUUUAAAUCU